GGCGGCCUUGUACACACCGCCCGUCACACCAUGGGAGUGGGUUGCAAAAGAAGUAGGUAGCUUAACCUUCGGGAGGGCGCUUACCACUUUGUGAUUCAUGACUGGGGUGAAGUCGUAACAAGGUAACCGUAGGGGAACCUGCGGUUGGAUCACCUCCUUA
This 160-nucleotide ribosomal RNA is filed under the name Providencia rettgeri. RNAcentral's name for it is "partial 16S ribosomal RNA". It matches the Rfam family "Bacterial small subunit ribosomal RNA", at positions 1374 to 1533 of the family's 1533-position model. The record is from RNAcentral. Lineage: Bacteria; Pseudomonadati; Pseudomonadota; Gammaproteobacteria; Enterobacterales; Morganellaceae.